UUGUACACACCGCCCGUCACAACAUGGGAGUGGGUUGCAAAAGAAGUAGGUAGCUUAACCUUCGGGAGGGCGCGUACCACUUUGGGAUUCAUGACUGGGGUGAAGUCGUAACAAGGUAACCGUAGGGGAACCUGCGGUUGGAUCACCUCCUUA
RNAcentral lists this ribosomal RNA (153 nucleotides) under Pseudomonas aeruginosa. RNAcentral's name for it is "partial 16S ribosomal RNA". It matches the Rfam family "Bacterial small subunit ribosomal RNA", at positions 1381 to 1533 of the family's 1533-position model. Lineage: Bacteria; Pseudomonadati; Pseudomonadota; Gammaproteobacteria; Pseudomonadales; Pseudomonadaceae. The record is from RNAcentral.